AGCGGAGGAAAAGAAACCAACAGGGAUUGCCUUAGUAACGGCGAGUGAACAGGCAAGAGCUCAGAUUUGAAAGCCUUUCGGGGCAUUGUAUUCUGAAGCCUUGAUUCUGAGAACCGGUACCUAAGUCUUCUGGAAAGGAGCGCCAAGGAGGGUGAUAGCCCCGUACGGUACUGACCUCAUUGUAGAAUCUUGGCGUGGAGUCGAGUUGUUUGGGAAUGCAGCUCAAAUGGGUGGUAUGCUCCAUCUAAAGCUAAAUAUCUGCGAGAGACCGAUAGCGAACAAGUACUGUGAAGGAAAGAUGAAAAGAACUUUGAAAAGAGAGUGAAAAAGUACGUGAAAUUGUUGAAAUGGAAGGAUAGGCCGCUAACCACGUAGAGCCGUGUCUGAGGGGAGGAUAAAAGCUGUAGAAUGUGGCUCUUCGGAGUGUUAUAGCUGCAGUGCAUACUCCCACUCGGGCGCGAGGACCUAAGGCUC
RNAcentral lists this ribosomal RNA (474 nucleotides) under Starmerella bombicola. Its description in RNAcentral is "partial large subunit ribosomal RNA". It matches the Rfam family "Eukaryotic large subunit ribosomal RNA", at positions 49 to 548 of the family's 3401-position model. Lineage: Eukaryota; Fungi; Ascomycota; Dipodascomycetes; Dipodascales; Trichomonascaceae. The record is from RNAcentral.